RNAcentral lists this ribosomal RNA (491 nucleotides) under uncultured bacterium. Its description in RNAcentral is "partial 16S ribosomal RNA". It matches the Rfam family "Bacterial small subunit ribosomal RNA", at positions 29 to 507 of the family's 1533-position model. The record is from RNAcentral.
AGUGAACGCUGGCGGUAGGCCUAACACAUGCGAGUCGAACGGCAGCACAGUAAGAGCUUGCUCUUACGGGUGGCGAGUGGCGGACGGGUGAGGAAUACAUCGGAAUCUACUUUUUCGUGGGGGAUAACGUAGGGAAACUUACGCUAUACCGCAUACGACCUACGGGUGAAAGCAGGGGAUCUUCGGACCUUGCGCGAUUGAAUGAGCCGAUGUCGGAUUAGCUAGUUGGCGGGGUAAAGGCCCACCAAGGCGACGAUCCGUAGCUGGUCUGAGAGGAUGAUCAGCCACACUGGAACUGAGACACGGUCCAGACUCCUACGGGAGGCAGCAGUGGGGAAUAUUGGACAAUGGGCGCAAGCCUGAUCCAGCCAUACCGCGUGGGUGAAGAAGGCCUUCGGGUUGUAAAGCCCUUUUGUUGGGAAAGAAAAGCAGCAGGUUAAUACCCCGCUGUUCUGACGGUACCCAAAGAAUAAGCACCGGCUAACUUCGUG